CCAUAUUGGGUGAUAGCCCCGUACACGAAAAUCUCUUAUCAAUGAAAUCGAGUAGGACGGAGCACGAGAAACUUUGUCUGAAUAUGGGGGGACCAUCCUCCAAGGCUAAAUACUACUGACUGACCGAUAGUGAACUAGUACCGUGAGGGAAAGGCGAAAAGAACCCCGGGAGGGGAGUGAAAUAGAUCCUGAAACCGUAUGCGUACAAGCAGUGGGAGCAGACUUUGUUCUGUGACUGCGUACCUUUUGUAUAAUGGGUCAGCGACUUAUUUUCAGUGGCGAGCUUAACCGAAUAGGGGAGGCGUAGCGAAAGCGAGUCUUAAUAGGGCGUCUAGUCGCUGGGAAUAGACCCGAAACCGGGCGAUCUAUCCAUGGGCAGGUUGAAGGUUAGGUAACACUGACUGGAGGACCGAACCGACUACCGUUGAAAAGUUAGCGGAUGACCUGUGGAUCGGAGUGAAAGGCUAAUCAAGCUCGGAGAUAGCUGGUUCUCCUCGAAAGCUAUUUAGGUAGCGCCUCAUGUAUCACUGUAGGGGGUAGAGCACUGUUUCGGCUAGGGGGUCAUCCCGACUUACCAAACCGAUGCAAACUCCGAAUACCUAUGAGUACUAUCCGGGAGACAGACUGCGGGUGCUAACGUCCGUAGUCAAGAGGAAAACAAUCCAGAUCGCCAGCUAAGGCCCCAAAAUUAUAGUUAAGUGGGAAACGAUGUGGGAAGGCUUAGACAGCUAGGAGGUUGGCUUAGAAGCAGCCA
Molecule: ribosomal RNA, 754 nt
Filed under: Aplanochytrium stocchinoi
Lineage: Eukaryota; Bigyra; Thraustochytrida; Thraustochytriidae
Description: partial Bacterial large subunit ribosomal RNA
Rfam family: Bacterial large subunit ribosomal RNA
Source: RNAcentral